Molecule: non-coding RNA, 24 nt
Filed under: Arabidopsis thaliana (thale cress)
Lineage: Eukaryota; Viridiplantae; Streptophyta; Magnoliopsida; Brassicales; Brassicaceae
Source: RNAcentral
AGAAUGUUGACAAUUCGGUGCUGC